Molecule: unclassified non-coding RNA, 147 nt
Filed under: soil metagenome
Description: partial internal transcribed spacer 1
Source: RNAcentral
CCGAGUUUACAACUCCCAAACCCCUGUGAACAUACCUAUACGUUGCCUCGGCGGAUCAGCCCGCGCCCCGUAAAAAGGGACGGCCCGCCCGAGGACCCCUAAACUCUGUUUUUAGUGGAACUUCUGAGUAAAACCAUAAAUAAAUCA